AUAACCUGAUCGAUCUGCCGUAGACGAAGAUAGGUGAACAUGGUUGAAUUGGAGGGUUGCUGUUCGAGCUUGCCGAAUGUUGAAUAGAAGUUAUACUUGAUGACUUCGUUGUUUACAGAGACGACGAUAGGAAGAUGUGAUUGAUCUUGAGGGAUGCUGCUUGAAUAAUUUGAACGAAAUCUAGUAUCUAUAUUUGAUGGUCUCGUUGUUGACAGUGAUGAGAGAGAGGAAUUUUUAGGAAACAAGGACGAGAGAGAAGCUAUUGGAAAUAUUGGUAUGAUGGAGCGGAUUAAUUAUCUGACUGAUCUGCCGUAGACAAUGAUAGGAAAAUACGAUUGAUUCGGAAGGAUGCUGUUCGAGUCUGUUGGAUGAUGAGUAGAAUUUAUACCUGAUGAGUUCGUUGUUGACAGCGGAAGUGAAAAAAAAAAGAGAGAGAAGCUGCCAGG
Molecule: long non-coding RNA, 446 nt
Organism: Ceratina calcarata
Lineage: Eukaryota; Metazoa; Arthropoda; Insecta; Hymenoptera; Apidae
Exons: 4
Source: RefSeq, a predicted model, not a curated record